RNAcentral lists this ribosomal RNA (253 nucleotides) under uncultured bacterium. RNAcentral's name for it is "partial 16S ribosomal RNA". It matches the Rfam family "Bacterial small subunit ribosomal RNA", at positions 524 to 776 of the family's 1533-position model. The record is from RNAcentral.
UACGUAGGGCGCAAGCGUUGUCCGGAAUUAUUGGGCGUAAAGAGCUCGUAGGCGGCUUGUCACGUCGGGGGUGAAAGCCCGGGGCUUAACCCCGGGUCUGCAUUCGAUACGGGCUAGCUAGAGUGUGGUAGGGGAGAUCGGAAUUCCUGGUGUAGCGGUGAAAUGCGCAGAUAUCAGGAGGAACACCGGUGGCGAAGGCGGAUCUCUGGGCCAUUACUGACGCUGAGGAGCGAAAGCGUGGGGAGCGAACAGG